RNAcentral lists this ribosomal RNA (1556 nucleotides) under uncultured bacterium. RNAcentral describes it as "partial 16S ribosomal RNA". The record is from RNAcentral.
AGCUUGCAUGCCUGCAGGUCGACGAUUGGUUACCUUGUUACGACUUCAUCCCAAUCGCUGACCCUACCUUCGGCAGCUUCCUCCCAAAAAGGGUUGGACCACUGACUUCGGGCAUUGCCAACUUUCGUGAUGUGACGGGCGGUGUGUACAAGCCCCGAGAACGUAUUCACCGCGGCAUUGCUGAUCCACGAUUACUAGCGACUCCGGCUUCAUGAAGUCGAGUUGCAGACUUCAAUCCGAACUGAGACCGGCUUUAAGGGAUUCGCUCACCCUCGCGGGAUCGCAGCCCGUUGUACCGGCCAUUGUAGCAUGCGUGCAGCCCUGGAUAUAAGGGGCAUGCUGACUUGACGUCGUCCUCACCUUCCUCCGAGUUGUCCCCGGCAGUCUCCCAUGAGUCCCCACCAUUACGUGCUGGCAACAUAGGACGAGGGUUGCGCUCGUUGCGGGACUUAACCCAACAUCUCACGACACGAGCUGACGACAGCCAUGCACCACCUGUCAUGGACGCUUACGCACACUGUAUCUCUACAGUUUUUCCCAUGAUGUCAAACCCAGGUAAGGUUCUUCGGGUCGCAUCGAAUUAAGCCGCAUGCUCCGCCGCUUGUGCGGGGCCCCGUCAAUUCCUUUGAGUUUUAGCCUUGCGGCCGUACUCCCCAGGCGGAUCACUUAAUGCGUUAGCGCCGGCACAGCAGACGUCAAUGAGUCCGCCACACCUAGUGAUCAACGUUUACGGCGUGGACUACCAGGGUAUCUAAUCCUGUUUGCUCCCCACGCUUUCGCUCGUCAGCGUCGGUAUCGGCCCAGAGAGCCGCCUUCGCUACUGGUGUUCCUCUCGAUAUCUGCGCAUUUCACCGCUACACCGAGAAUUCCACUCUCCUCUACCGAACCCUAGCCAUGGCAGUUUCGACCGGCAUUCCGAGGUUGAGCCUCGGACUUUCACGACCGACUUGCCAAGCCGCCUACGAGCUCUUUACGCCCAAUAAAUCCGGAUAACGCUUGGCCCCUACGUAUUACCGCGGCUGCUGGCACGUAGUUGGCCGGGCCUUCUUGUGUGGGUACCGUCACUUGCGCUUCUUCCCCACUGAAAGAGGUUUACAACUCGAAAGCCUUCAUCCCUCACGCGGCGUCGCUGCAUCAGGCUUGCGCCCAUUGUGCAAUAUUCCCUGCUGCUGCCUCCCGUAGGAGUCUGGGCCGUGUCUCAGUCCCAGUGUGGCUGAUCGUCCUCUCAGACCAGCUACCCGUCAGAGCCUUGGUGAGCCGUUACCUCACCAACAAGCUGAUAGGCCGCGAGCCCAUCCCGAAGCGCCGGAGCCUUUCCUCAUGGGGCCAUUCGGUCCCUAGAGGGUAUCCGGUAUUAAUCCACGUUUCCAUGGGUUAUCCCGGUCUUCGGGGCAGGUUGCUCACGUGUUACUCACCCGUUCGCCACUAGGAGUCCUUCGAAAGUUACCAAUCAAAGGGUCCUCGUUCGACUUGCAUGCAUUAAGCACGCCGCCAGCGUUCAUCCUGAGCCAGGAUCAAACUCUAAUCUCUAGAGGAUCCCCGGGUACCGAGCUCGA